AUUGAACGCUGGCGGCAUGCUUUACACAUGCAAGUCGAACGGCAGCGGGGUAGAGCUUGCACUACUGCCGGCGAGUGGCGAACGGGUGAGUAAUAUAUCGGAACUUACCGAGUAAUGGGGGAUAACCAAUCGAAAGAUUGGCUAAUACCGCAUACGUCCUGAGGGAGAAAGCGGGGGAUCGCAAGACCUCACGUUAUUACAGCAGCCGAUACCUGAUUAGCUUGUUGUUGGGGUAAAGGCCUACCAAGGCGACGAUCAGUAGCGGGUCUGAGAGGAGGAUGGGCAACACUGGAAUUGAGACAGGGCCCAGACUCCUACGGGAGGCAGCAGUGGGGAAUUUUGGACAAUGAGGGAAGUCCUGAUGCAGACAGGCGGCGUGGAUGAAGAAGGCCUUCGGUUGGUAAAGUACGUUUGUAAGGGAAGAAAAGGGAGGGGCUAAAACCACUUUUUGCUGACGGUAACUAAAGAAUAAGCACCGGCUAACUACGUG
This 490-nucleotide ribosomal RNA is filed under the name uncultured bacterium. RNAcentral's name for it is "partial 16S ribosomal RNA". It matches the Rfam family "Bacterial small subunit ribosomal RNA", at positions 30 to 507 of the family's 1533-position model. The record is from RNAcentral.